CCGGGGCUGGGGCGGUGGAGCCCGGCCCGGAGCUGUGGGGCUGUGCGGCCCCAAGCAGGGGCAGGGGUAAGCCCGCCAGGCAGGGGCGAUCGAUGGCGUGGUGCAGGCCUGCGCGGUGUGAGGGACUUCGCUAAGCUGCCACCAUUCAACCCACCAGCCUUAGCCCGUACGCCGUCGCUGACAGAAAUGGCGGCUCCCUCAGCGCUCCAACUGCUGGGGCCAGAGUUUCCCUUUAAUUCCUGUGUUUGGGCUGCCGAGGGAGAGGAAUAACCCUUCGCCCAAGCCUGCAGGGUGGCUGCGGAGCAGGAACCGGUAGCUGUGUGGUCGCAGAGGUGCUCGAGCCCGCACCGAGACGGCACUGCGGCUGGAGAGGGUGGCGUGGUGUGAGGUGACUGUGGGGAGCUGCUCAGUUAAACCAGGCGUUCCGUAGAGGUCAGCCUCUAUGGACAGAGUUUAUUCUUCACAAGGAACGGUUCCAUGUCACUAAAGGCAUCUUCAUUCAAGAAAAGUCAUACCAGAAUAAUCGCCAAGUUCACCUAUCGCUGGUUUAGGGUUAUGCAAGUGACGACUUGCAUUUCAUCUUGCUAUGGCAUGACACAAACAGAACUUGUAAGGCUUCAGCCAAUCCCGCUGCCUCCUUUCGCCCGGAUGUUGACGUAGCGCUUUUCUAUUGCUUCCCUUUGUUGCUGGGGUCUCAUCGUCAAGAGGUUUCGAGAAGCUCCCAGAAGCUUCGAGAAGUGUCCGUUACCAGCCUCACCAUCACCGGAACCUGCAGGGACUGUGAGAAUGAAGACCCUAAGCCCAUUGUAGGAGAGGAUCUGGUUCAAGACCAUCUUAAGAACCUGA
Long non-coding RNA from Melopsittacus undulatus (budgerigar), 846 nucleotides. RefSeq lists it as uncharacterized. The record is from RefSeq and is a predicted model, not a curated record. Lineage: Eukaryota; Metazoa; Chordata; Aves; Psittaciformes; Psittaculidae. The transcript has 3 exons.